Molecule: ribosomal RNA, 125 nt
Filed under: Staphylococcus warneri
Lineage: Bacteria; Bacillati; Bacillota; Bacilli; Caryophanales; Staphylococcaceae
Also listed under: 6 other names
Description: partial 16S ribosomal RNA
Rfam family: Bacterial small subunit ribosomal RNA
Source: RNAcentral
UUUAUGGAGAGUUUGAUCCUGGCUCAGGAUGAACGCUGGCGGCGUGCCUAAUACAUGCAAGUCGAGCGAACAGAUAAGGAGCUUGCUCCUUUGACGUUAGCGGCGGACGGGUGAGUAACACGUGG